This 775-nucleotide ribosomal RNA is filed under the name uncultured Neocallimastigales. RNAcentral describes it as "partial large subunit ribosomal RNA". It matches the Rfam family "Eukaryotic large subunit ribosomal RNA", at positions 24 to 616 of the family's 3401-position model. Lineage: Eukaryota; Fungi; Neocallimastigomycota; Neocallimastigomycetes; Neocallimastigales. The record is from RNAcentral.
CACGCAUGACACACUGCAUAUCAAUAAGCGGAGGAAAAGAAACUAACAAGGAUUCCCCUAGUAACGGCGAGUGAAGCGGGAAGAGCUCAAAUUUGAAAUCUUAAAGGGUUUCCCUUUACGAAUUGUAGUUUAAAGAAGUGUUUUCGGUUAGAGGAGUAGUAAAAGUUCUUUGGAAUAGGACAUCAUAGAGGGUGAGAAUCCCGUAUUUGGUACUAUUCUUUCUAGCUUUGUGAUACACUUUCAACGAGUCGGAUUGUUUGGGAAUGCAGUCCAAAAUGGGUGGUAAAUUUCAUCUAAAGCUAAAUAUUGGCGAGAGACCGAUAGCGAACAAGUACCGUGAGGGAAAGAUGAAAAGAACUUUGAAAAGAGAGUUAAACAGUACGUGAAAUUGUCAAAAGGGAAGCGUUUGACACCAGUGUUGUUUUUCCGAAAAUCAAUUACGAAUGUUUUAUUUUUGAGAAGUUAUGACUUCAUCGGCUUGCUUCUCUCUUUAUGAAACUUUCUUAAUGCACUUUUCGGUUAACAAGUCAACAUCAAUUUCUUUUGUUGUAAAAGGGUAUGAGGAAGGUGGCCUUCUUUUCGGAGAAAGUGUUUAUAGCCUUGUACCUCUGCAAUCGGAGAGAUUGAGGUCUGCAGCGUAGAUCCUUCGGGGUUAGAUACAUUUGUGCUAAGUUAUAGCUUUUUAUAGACAACUUGUUGACUAUAUUUAGUCUUGUAGCUUACUCGCUUAUGCUAUUUUACCUACGCUUAGGAUGUUGAGCGCAUGUCUCUCUCU